GGCUCAGGAUGAACGCUAGCGGCAGGCUUAAUACAUGCAAGUCGUGGGGCAGCAUGAGUAGCAAUACUUGAUGGCGACCGGCAAACGGGUGAGGAACACGUACACAACCUUCCUUCAGCGGGGAAUAGCCCAGAGAAAUUUGGAUUAAUACCCCAUAAUAUAUUUGAUAAGGCAUCUUAUUAAUAUUAAAGCUUCGGCACUUGAUGAUGGGUGUGCGGCUGAUUAGAUAGUUGGCGGGGUAACGGCCCACCAAGUCUACGAUCAGUAGCUGAUGUGAGAGCAUGAUCAGCCACACGGGCACUGAGACACGGGCCCGACUCCUACGGGAGGCAGCAGUAAGGAAUAUUGGACAAUGGACGAAAGUCUGAUCCAGCCAUGCCGCGUGAAGGAUUAAGGUCCUCUGGAUUGUAAACUUCUUUUAUAUGGGACGAAAAAGGGCAUUCUUGUUCACUUGACGGUACCAUAUGAAUAAGCACCGGCUAACUCCGUG
This 490-nucleotide ribosomal RNA is filed under the name uncultured bacterium. Its description in RNAcentral is "bacterial SSU rRNA". It matches the Rfam family "Bacterial small subunit ribosomal RNA", at positions 21 to 507 of the family's 1533-position model. The record is from RNAcentral.